RNAcentral lists this ribosomal RNA (254 nucleotides) under uncultured bacterium. RNAcentral describes it as "partial 16S ribosomal RNA". It matches the Rfam family "Bacterial small subunit ribosomal RNA", at positions 524 to 776 of the family's 1533-position model. The record is from RNAcentral.
UACGGGGGGAGCAAGCGUUGUUCGGAUUUACUGGGCGUAAAGGGCGCGUAGGCGGCCACCGCAAGUCGACUGUGAAAUCUCCGGGCUUAACCCGGAGAGGUCAGCCGAUACUGCGGGGCUAGAGUGCAGAAGGGGCAACUGGAAUUCUCGGUGUAGCGGUGAAAUGCGUAGAUAUCGAGAGGAACACCUGCGGCGAAGGCGGGUUGCUGGGCUGACACUGACGCUGAGGCGCGAAAGCUAGGGGAGCGAACGGG